This 800-nucleotide long non-coding RNA is filed under the name Lactuca sativa (garden lettuce). RNAcentral describes it as "long non-coding RNA (LSAT_LNC004426)". The record is from RNAcentral. Lineage: Eukaryota; Viridiplantae; Streptophyta; Magnoliopsida; Asterales; Asteraceae.
AUAAAAGGUCCUUCCAGUUCAUCCUAUGCCCUUGGGUAGCAAGGGUAUACAUCCACGUCCAUACGUACCACUUAGAUUACUAGUAAGCUACCAUAUGGGUAGUUCAGGAAGAUACUAGAACCAUUACUAGAACGCGAUAUCAUACAAUGAGUCAGUUCAUUCAUGAGUCAAUACUUUCUAGAACAUUACUGUACAUUACAUAUACAUCUAUACUAGGACGAGAACAUAUACAACUAUACUAGAACGUUUACAUUACUAUACUUGCUAGAUAGAGAGAACACACAUUACAGCUAGCACACAUAGAACAUUACAGUUCAUUACAUUACUAUACUUGCUAGAACAGUUCAUUACAUUACUAUACUUGCUAGUAUAGUUCAUUACAUUACUAUACUUGCUAGAACAGUUCAUUACAUUACAGCUAGAACAGUACAUUACAUUACAUAUACGAGAAUACGUUAAUUACUGUGAUUUAAAUCGGAGCAUGACUUAAAACCUCAUGACUUGAGUUGCGGCCAGAGUCUCUUGAAGGGGGAGCGUUGAGUUUGCGUAUAGAUUCUAUAAUGGAUUGACUAUCCUACGCCUUGCUGCUAGCUACAGCGGGACUUGCAGGUCUGCGGGUGCCAAACGUCAUACAUUGAUUUCGACCAUUCUUAUGUCGAUAUAACCAGUCCAUAGUAUGAGUUUGUGUAUAGAUCUAUACUGGAUUGACUAUCCUACACCUUACUGCCAGCUACAGUGGGAUCUGCAGAUAUGCGGGUGGCAAACGUCAUUCCGUUAUUAAGACCAUUCGUAUGUCGUUG